AUUGAACGCUGGCGACAUGCCUUACACAUGCAAGUCGAACGGCAGCACGGGUGCUUGCACCUGGUGGCGAGUGGCGAACGGGUGAGUAAUACAUCGGAACAUGUCCUGUAGUGGGGGAUAGCCCGGCGAAAGCCGGAUUAAUACCGCAUACGAUCUACGGAUGAAAGCGGGGGACCUUCGGGCCUCGCGCUAUAGGGUUGGCCGAUGGCUGAUUAGCUAGUUGGUGGGGUAAAGGCCUACCAAGGCGACGAUCAGUAGCUGGUCUGAGAGGACGACCAGCCAUACUGGGACUGAGACACGGCCCAGACUCCUACGGGAGGCAGCAGUGGGGAAUUUUGGACAAUGGGCGAAAGCCUGAUCCAGCAAUGCCGCGUGUGUGAAGAAGGCCUUCGGGUUGUAAAGCACUUUUGUCCGGAAAGAAAUCCUUGGCCCUAAUACGGUCGGGGGAUGACGGUACCGGAAGAAUAAGCACCGGCUAACUACGUG
This 486-nucleotide ribosomal RNA is filed under the name uncultured bacterium. Its description in RNAcentral is "partial 16S ribosomal RNA". It matches the Rfam family "Bacterial small subunit ribosomal RNA", at positions 30 to 507 of the family's 1533-position model. The record is from RNAcentral.